This 728-nucleotide ribosomal RNA is filed under the name uncultured bacterium. RNAcentral describes it as "bacterial SSU rRNA". It matches the Rfam family "Bacterial small subunit ribosomal RNA", at positions 789 to 1515 of the family's 1533-position model. The record is from RNAcentral.
GGUAGUCCACGCCGUAAACGAUGAUAACUAGCUGCCGGGGCACAUGGUGUUUCGGUGGCGCAGCUAACGCAUUAAGUUAUCCGCCUGGGGAGUACGGUCGCAAGAUUAAAACUCAAAGGAAUUGACGGGGGCCUGCACAAGCGGUGGAUGAUGUGGUUUAAUUCGAAGCAACGCGCAGAACCUUACUAACGUUUGACAUCCUCAUCGCGAUUUCCAGAGAUGGAUUUCUUCAGUUCGGCUGGAUGAGUGACAGGUGCUGCAUGGCUGUCGUCAGCUCGUGUCGUGAGAUGUUGGGUUAAGUCCCGCAACGAGCGCAACCCUCGCCUUUAGUUGCCAGCAUUUAGUUGGGUACUCUAAAGGAACCGCCGGUGAUAAGCCGGAGGAAGGUGGGGAUGACGUCAAGUCCUCAUGGCCCUUACGCGUUGGGCUACACACGUGCUACAAUGGCGACUACAGUGGGCAGCGACCUCGCGAGGGGAAGCUAAUCUCCAAAAGUCGUCUCAGUUCGGAUCGUUCUCUGCAACUCGAGAGCGUGAAGGCGGAAUCGCUAGUAAUCGCGGAUCAGCAUGCCGCGGUGAAUACGUUCCCAGGCCUUGUACACACCGCCCGUCACACCAUGGGAGUUGGAUUCACUCGAAGGCGUUGAGCUAACCGCAAGGAGGCAGGCGACCACAGUGGGUUUAGCGACUGGGGUGAAGUCGUAACAAGGUAGCCGUAGGGGAACCUGC